GUCGGGGUUCGGGUUGCGUCUUUCAUGUGAGAGAGAGGAUGAUUGAUCUUAUUUUGCAACAUUGGCCAUUAGGUUAUAUUAUGCAUAGGUACGAUCCAAUGAUGGAGUCAUACGAAGAAAAAUAAAUUCUUUUUUUACAUUAAAGAUACAAUCCCUGUUCACCGGAUGGCGGGUCCGGAUUAUCAAAGGUGUCGAGCCGUCUAGGUGGUGGGCCCAGCAGGCCGGGGGAUGGAUGUGGAAUUUUAGAGGGUGGUAUUGGAUGGAAUUAAUGGGACGGGGGGAUGGAGAAAGGGGGUCGCUGUGAUUGAUUUGGUUGUUGCUCUUAUCAUUAUGGAAGGAGCCUUCAAGGUGUUUUAAGGGUUGGCAUCGCACUCGCUGGGAUGUGGAGUGAUAAACACAAGCUGUAGGUGGAGAGAAGUUGAGGAAA
RNAcentral lists this long non-coding RNA (427 nucleotides) under Phoenix dactylifera (date palm). RNAcentral describes it as "long non-coding RNA (PDAC_LNC000768)". The record is from RNAcentral. Lineage: Eukaryota; Viridiplantae; Streptophyta; Magnoliopsida; Arecales; Arecaceae.